Mesoplodon densirostris (Blainville's beaked whale) is the source of this 446-nucleotide long non-coding RNA. RefSeq lists it as uncharacterized. The record is from RefSeq and is a predicted model, not a curated record. NCBI's taxonomy places the organism in Eukaryota, Metazoa, Chordata, Mammalia, Artiodactyla, Ziphiidae. The transcript is spliced from 4 exons.
GGCUGGAGGUGGAGAAGCGGAAGCCAUGGCAACCAGGUCCUUGACUUCAGCUUUGAGUAGCCCUGUCGUCAUGACCCAAAUCCAUCUUAUUCAUCCUUUAAGUUUGAACAAAGCAGCCGUUCCUGAUGACCCCUUACACUCCAGUGAUAAUUUCUAGAAUGUUUCUUUCAACCAUUUUUGCAGUGAUUCCCCUAACAUUUCAGCUUUUUGGUUUGUACUGCAGCAGCCCUGCACUGAGCAAGUCUACUGGCGCCAUUUUUCCAACAGCAUUUGUUCACUUCAUGCCUCUGUGUCACAUUUUGAUGCGGUAGAAAUGGCAAGAGAACUAGAAUUGGAAGUGGAGCCUGAAGAUGUGACUGAACUGCUGCCAUCUCGCAAUAAAACUUUCACGGUGAGGAGUUGUUUCUUCUGGAUGAGCAAAGAAAGUGGUUUCUUGAGAUGGGAUC